Molecule: long non-coding RNA, 616 nt
Organism: Canis lupus familiaris (dog)
Lineage: Eukaryota; Metazoa; Chordata; Mammalia; Carnivora; Canidae
Exons: 4
Source: RefSeq, a predicted model, not a curated record
UCCUCAAGUCAAUAUUUACAUUUGCUUUUGCAGGCACCUGAUAUAUUAGCAAUCCAGGAUGUCUUUAAAGUAAAUUAUCAGUUUGGUGCUUCCAGGAUUCUCAGACGGUAUACAUUCUGAUCCUAAACCUGUAUGAGGCUUUUUCCUGAUAAGCUGUCCUGUUGAGAAAAACUAUUUGCUCUUCAUUGUUUUACAUCUGACUCCUCCAGGAAGCUGGGACCUAAAUAAAAAUGGACAAUUAGGAUGGUGGAUAGAUACAAAAUUUUGGACUGAGUUUGGGUCCAUAUCAAAGUAAUCUGAGGCUGCUGAUAAAAGAGUAUUCCAAGAGUUUGGCAAGGAUCUGACUUACUUCUGCCUAUAGCCUGUCAUCCAAUAGCCCAUGCGAAUUCAGAAGCUGGACUUCUCAUCUGUAUCUGGAAAAGAAACGGAGAAUGGCAUCAUGUUGGGACAUUUUAAUGGCCAUCUCAGACAUCUGAAAGACUGACAGGCUGUGACUGCUGCAAGGUGGAAAUAACAUAACAUCACCUUCCUCCUACUCUCAUCAGAAUGCUGCUAUAAACAACUGCAAUAAUAUCUAAAAUCAGUCAGAUUGGGGUGGUGGGAGGAGAGGCCAGGG